This 200-nucleotide ribosomal RNA is filed under the name uncultured bacterium. RNAcentral describes it as "partial 16S ribosomal RNA". It matches the Rfam family "Bacterial small subunit ribosomal RNA", at positions 28 to 237 of the family's 1533-position model. The record is from RNAcentral.
GAUGAACGCUAGCGGCAGGCCUAAUACAAGCAAGUCGAACGGAUGUCUUCGGACAUUAGUGGCGUACGGGUGCGUAACGCGUAAACAAUCUACCUCAUACUGGGGGAUAGCCCUGGGAAACCGGGAGUAAGCCCGCAUGGUACCACCGGAUUUCAUGGUUUGGUGGUUAAAGAUUUAUUGGUAUGAGAUGAGUUUGCGUC